RNAcentral lists this transfer RNA (76 nucleotides) under bacterium. RNAcentral's name for it is "tRNA-Ala". It matches the Rfam family "tRNA". Rfam says of the family: Transfer RNA (tRNA) molecules are approximately 80 nucleotides in length. Their secondary structure includes four short double-helical elements and three loops (D, anti-codon, and T loops). The record is from RNAcentral.
GGGGCCUUAGCUCAGUUGGUAGAGCGCAACGCUGGCAGCGUUGAGGUCAUCGGUUCGACCCCGAUAGGCUCCACCA